Planococcus citri (citrus mealybug) is the source of this 870-nucleotide long non-coding RNA. RefSeq lists it as uncharacterized. The transcript is spliced from 3 exons. NCBI's taxonomy places the organism in Eukaryota, Metazoa, Arthropoda, Insecta, Hemiptera, Pseudococcidae. The record is from RefSeq and is a predicted model, not a curated record.
ACGAUUACUGGGUACCUACAUAUCAAGUAUAUAUAUUCAGAAUCGGGAGAAUAAAGGUAUCAGUAUUCGGUUUGAUGUUCAGUGUACGUAGGUAAAUAGGUAUCAGAAGCAUUACCGAUUCAAAUCGUGGGUCACAUCGAAUCGUAGAUAUCCGCUUCCUACAGCGAUGGCUAUAAAAUCAUAUCUUUUCAUUUUAUUGGUUGUAUUUGUAUCCAUACAACUUUAUGCAGUAAAAUACUAUGCUGUUGUCGCUCCUGAUGGUGAUGAUAAGCCACUCGAUAUCUAUGGAUCAUGCUGGGAUCGUGCACCUCCAGACGACGGCACUCCACUUCAAGGCAGUGAUAGCGAUGAUGAAUCGUAGGUAGGUACCUCUAUUAUUUGGAAAAAAUCAGCGUGUCAAUUUUUUCAUACAGAUAAAACAGACCUUUAUUUUUAAGAAAAAUAACCCUAAUAAUUUUAAGUUUUCCAUGAAAAGCAAAUUUACAGACCUAUAUUUUUAAGAGAAAUAGGAACCCAAUAAUGUUAAUUUUUUCAUAUAAAUUUACAGACCUCUAUUUUUAAGACAAAUAAACUUGAUAAUUUUCUCAGCUAUGCGUUUGAUUUUUUUUUUUUUAAAGACGAUGAGUGUUGAAAAACUUGAAGUACAUAUGAGAAAGCUUCAAAGAACUUUCUAGAUAUUUUCAAAAACGUGGCGUCGUGUAGAAUUUCAUCGAAAUUUUCAAUAGUGAAAAGUUGGACAAAAGGUAAUUAAAUCUCAUCGUUUCAAGUUGACAACAGAACUAACAAGAAAAAGUCACUGUACAGUCCCACAAGUAAGUAAAAAAUUAUCCCGGAAUUAAAUCGAUUUGCUUAUAUUGUAGACAGUAGCUC